RNAcentral lists this long non-coding RNA (297 nucleotides) under Nicotiana benthamiana. Its description in RNAcentral is "long non-coding RNA (NBEN_LNC003226)". Lineage: Eukaryota; Viridiplantae; Streptophyta; Magnoliopsida; Solanales; Solanaceae. The record is from RNAcentral.
UUUUAUUUAUAGUGAGAUAGUAAUUUACGCGUUGACAUUAGGUCUUCCUCCAUAUCUGAUAAAUUUAUUAUGAACUCACUGGAUAUAGUUACUAGUUAUUGAUAACAUAUGUUAGCUCUCCAUCUGAGUUUAAGGGUUAAAUCAAUUUUGUUACUAGUUAUUGAUAACCUAUGUUAGCUCUCCAUCUGAGUUUAAAGGUUAAAUCAAUUUUGUAACUAAAAUACAAUCAUGAUUAAAUGGUGAUAGAAUUAUAUUUCUAUGGUCUUUCACUAUUAAUUUCAAAUGAGUAAUAAAUUU